Molecule: transfer RNA, 73 nt
Filed under: Felis catus (domestic cat)
Lineage: Eukaryota; Metazoa; Chordata; Mammalia; Carnivora; Felidae
Also listed under: 4 other names
Rfam family: tRNA
About the family: Transfer RNA (tRNA) molecules are approximately 80 nucleotides in length. Their secondary structure includes four short double-helical elements and three loops (D, anti-codon, and T loops).
Source: Rfam by way of RNAcentral
ACCUAGCUGGUUCCAUCGGUAGAGCAUGUGACUCUUGAUCUCAGGGUUGUGAGUUUGAGCCCCACGUUGAGUG